Non-coding RNA from Nicotiana tabacum (common tobacco), 867 nucleotides. The record is from RefSeq and is a predicted model, not a curated record. NCBI's taxonomy places the organism in Eukaryota, Viridiplantae, Streptophyta, Magnoliopsida, Solanales, Solanaceae.
CUAACGAGGGGGAGGGGGUCUGAAACGAAGGUUGCGCAUGAAAAACGAAACGCUGAAAAACAAAAAGGAAACAAAAAAAAGUUGAACGAAAAGAUGACGAAAAAAGGGAGAUAACGAAGGAGGACUGAAAACGAAAAAAAAGGAAAAGCUGAAAGUGGCAGCUGAAAAAGCUGCGCAAAAACAGAGAAACCUGACCCCCCUUGCAUCGUCUUCUUCACGACCCCCCACCCCCCUUCGCGUGGCCUUCUCCAAACGACCCCUUUCCCCACUGGUCUUCUUCUUCAUUCUGAUAGCUGCUCCCAGCAGCCUAACGCCCCAUCACACCUCGCCAGCCCGUCGACGACUCUUGCUACUCCGUCCAGUGACUCCUCGCCGGAAACCAACCCCACCGGAAAAACCAGAACUUAUGCCAAGUGCUUUGCUGGAAAACGCAGCAACACAGCUAAGAAAACCAACCUAGACAGCCUGUUUCUACCCUGUUCUCACCCAGUCAAAGUUCUGUCCAUUUUUGAGUUCUCCGGCGAGCUUCAUGGUUGUCCGUGGUCAUUGUUCAUGGGUUCCGUUUCAGCUCCAUCCAUGGUUUGUCGUGUCUGAGUCUAACACUGCCUCAUAAGUAAGGUGCUGAUCCAUUUUGAGGUGUGGAUUUAUUUAUCGGAGUUGGAGCAUGACGAAGCCCUAGGACAUCUAGUCAGGAUCACUGCAUUCAGAAGUUGCUCGAGGAGUCAUUUUAUAUUUUUGAGUCAAUUGUUUAUGUUUUACUUUCUAGUCAUGUAUAGUAGUAUUCGGUCUUUUAGGUAAUGUUAGAGUUUGUAAUAGUCUAGUUAAAUUUGCCUAGUCUUUUGUUAUUGUAUUCCUUAUUUGGUAUUU